GAUCUGUGAGGAAAAUGGCUCUAGCGGUUGUUGGGUCCUUCGCAUUCUUCUGACUUAUCAGAUGACAUAGCCUUAGUCUGAGAUC
Capsella rubella is the source of this 85-nucleotide small nucleolar RNA. It matches the Rfam family "small nucleolar RNA snoR114". The record is from Rfam. Lineage: Eukaryota; Viridiplantae; Streptophyta; Magnoliopsida; Brassicales; Brassicaceae.